RNAcentral lists this long non-coding RNA (1057 nucleotides) under Anolis carolinensis (green anole). RNAcentral's name for it is "lncRNA (ENSACAG00000038364.1)". The record is from RNAcentral. Lineage: Eukaryota; Metazoa; Chordata; Lepidosauria; Squamata; Anolidae.
UUUAGAGUAGCCAGGCUCUCAGAGCAUUUCCUGUUGCUCUUGCAGGUUAUCAAGGCCACCCCUUUGGAAAUACAGCUGUCCUUUUGCUUAGUGAGAGCAAACAGCAGGGAGAUCGCUUAGCAGCAUGCCGGCAGGUCACAGCUUUGUCAAUUCACCUUCUCACACUGCAAAGCAGGAGGGCCUGGAGCUAAAUCCCAACAGAUGCCAGAUACCUCAUAUUAUGAAUAUGAUGUUAGUGUCCGCUCCUGGAAGGUGUAGGACCCAAGAAAUAGGCUCACACCGCUGGUCGCAAUGGAAAACUUUAUUGAAUCCGCCUUGCCAAGAUGACUGCAAAAGCUUUUACUGACUCUCUUCCGCUUUUCCCCUCAGUAUAUGGGGUUGUUGCCUCCCCCCUCCUCCUUCUCCAUCCACACCUCCCUUUCCUUUGGUCCUUUCCCACGUUUGAAGACCAGACCCUGUCAUAAAUCAGCCUAUCCUGCCAAAUGGUCUCCUUCCUCUGUCCUCUUGUAGUCAGGUUGCGAAAAGACCAGCUUUGAUGAUGCUGUUCUUUGUUGCACCCUGACAUGACUCCCCCCUUCGGACGACGACCCUGCGGGGAGAGACAAAGUUCCGACAAUCUAAGAACAACAGCAGCAGAAUAAGCCAGGAGAAGGAAAGAAGAAGGAGAGAGAGAGUCCAACCCCCCCCCCCCUUUUCGGGAUCAUGGUCCAGGUUUAUGGGGAAACUUUGUGUGAAACUGUUUUCUCAACUUCGGGGCUUUAACAUGCUCUGCUGCUACCCAUUCCGGGUGUAAGGUCUGUGAAGACCAUUGGACCAAGUAGUACAGUUUCCCCCGAGACUUCUUGGAGUCCAGGAUAUCCUUGAUUUCAAAAUGGGUGUGUGCCCCCACCAUAAUGGGGACCGGAUCUGCCCCCGGUUUACUCCAUCUGUGAGUGUUUGGCGCUGGUUUCAGCAGGCUAACGUGAAACACUGGGUGCACCUUGCGCCAUCUAUGAGGCAAUUGUAACCGUACUGUCACUGGGUUCACAACGGCCGAAAUGGGAAAGGGACCAACAUA